Molecule: ribosomal RNA, 152 nt
Filed under: uncultured bacterium
Lineage: Bacteria
Description: partial 16S ribosomal RNA
Rfam family: Bacterial small subunit ribosomal RNA
Source: RNAcentral
UGGGGAAUAUUGGACAAUGGGCGAAAGCCUGAUCCAGCAAUGCCGCGUGUGUGAAGAAGGCCUUCGGGUUGUAAAGCACUUUUAUCAGGAGCGAAAUACCAUCGGUUAAUAACCGGCGGGGCUGACGGUACCUGAGGAAUAAGCACCGGCUA